GCUCGAGUGGCGAACGGGUGAGUAACACGUGAGUAACCUGCCCUUGACUUUGGGAUAACUUCAGGAAACUGGGGCUAAUACCGGAUAGGAGCUCCUGCCGCAUGGUGGGGGUUGGGAAAGGUUUCGGCGGUUGGGGAUGGACUCGCGGCUUAUCAGCUUGUUGGUGGGGUGAUGGCCUACCAAGGCGACGACGGGUAGCCGGCCUGAGAGGGUGAUCGGCCACAUUGGGACUGAGAUACGGCCCAG
Molecule: ribosomal RNA, 246 nt
Filed under: uncultured Actinomycetales bacterium
Lineage: Bacteria; Bacillati; Actinomycetota; Actinomycetes; Actinomycetales
Description: partial 16S ribosomal RNA
Rfam family: Bacterial small subunit ribosomal RNA
Source: RNAcentral